This 241-nucleotide ribosomal RNA is filed under the name uncultured bacterium. RNAcentral describes it as "partial 16S ribosomal RNA". It matches the Rfam family "Bacterial small subunit ribosomal RNA", at positions 116 to 353 of the family's 1533-position model. The record is from RNAcentral.
CGUGGGCAACCUGCCUCAUAGAGGGGAAUAGCCUUCCGAAAGGGAGAUUAAUACCGCAUAAGAUUGUAGUACCGCAUGGUACAGCAAUUAAAGGAGCAAUCCGCUAUGAGAUGGGCCCGCGGCGCAUUAGCUAGUUGGUGAGGUAACGGCUCACCAAGGCGACGAUGCGUAGCCGACCUGAGAGGGUGAUCGGCCACAUUGGGACUGAGACACGGCCCAGACUCCUACGGGAGGCAGCAUG